UGGAGGAGGUCUGGCUGCAGCCCGCACGUUCCCAGGUCGCGGAGCUCUGAGGUCUUAAGGGCUUGGCUUGAGGUUUUUCCUAGCAGCCCCAGGGCGGGAGGUGACUGCAACCUGCCCCGAGGCCCCAGGCCGAGCCCAGUCCAAAUUUCCCCCUGGACUGGAUGUCGCUGACCGCCCACCGGGGGCUAGGCGCCCUCAGACCAACCCCAGCUGCUUGCCCAGCGCUCUGCAGAUAAACACCUCUGUCGACGCCUGUCAGUCAUGGGCUGGCUGCCCGGGGGCAAGAGGACUCAGGCUUUGGGGUUCUAGGACGUUUCUGCUUGGAAGGUUGAAGUGAGGUCACGUGCGCUGCUGGAGACGGGAUCCUCACACGCGUGUGUGAAUGACCUGAUGGACAGGUUUCUGGGCUGUUGAGAGAAUGGUCAGGCUCCGGCACCGUGUCCUCAGCCCUGUUGUGACACGUCUAGAAGGCCCUCACCAGCACCUGGGCGAUGCUCUAGCGCUGGCAGCCAGGUCCGCCUGUAUUCUUGUAGAUGACCAGGCUUUGCGUAUUCUGCUACAACAGCAGGAAACGGAGGCUAAUGUUAACAGACUUCGGAAAACUGAACAAGCAGGUCCCACCAAACGGCCUUCUCUCUGUAACACUGCCUUUCAAAUGAAUACAAAAAAAAAAAAAAAAUAGGAAACCAUGUUGGACCAUGGGGCCUUACUUGGGUUCAGUCAACCCAGUUUGUGCACCUACAGCAUGCUGGGUGCUGGAGUGACUCCCGGAAGGCGGUAGAGUUCAUGGUGCGAGGAAGCCUGAGUCGGUCACCUGGUAUCCCCAGAAACCACCAAGGCUCUGGUUAACGAGAAUGGAGACUGUCAUGCUAUCAGCUGGAAAUCCGAUGUAGUGACAAACCAUGCGACCACUGCAGUAGGACAGGCCAAUGAGCUGUGGCCUGGCGAAUGAGCUGUUCUCUCAGUGACGAAGAAGAGGGAGAUGGGUAUUCGUCAGGCUCGGCUCUGCCGUCAGCCACAUGCGGGAAACAGGUACACACAGGCCUUGCACACAGGGGCGUGAAACCUGUCUGCACUCAGCUUACCCAGCGCUUUCCCCAGCUGGCACCACGGGGGCUGCUCAUGAGCCAGCGCCGAGCCCCAGGAGAGUGGUACAGGGCAGGGGAGACCGCCCCAGGGCCAGCACAGGGCAGGGGAGACCGCCCCAGGGCAGCACAGGGCAGGGGAGACCGCCCCAGGGCCAGCACAGGGCAGGGGAGACCGCCCCAGGGCCAGCUCAGGGCAGGGGAGACCGCCCCAGGGCCAGCACAGGGCAGGGGAGACU
This 1324-nucleotide long non-coding RNA is filed under the name Oryctolagus cuniculus (rabbit). RNAcentral's name for it is "lncRNA (ENSOCUG00000036637.1)". Lineage: Eukaryota; Metazoa; Chordata; Mammalia; Lagomorpha; Leporidae. The record is from RNAcentral.